AGAUUGAACGCUGGCGGCAUGCCUAACACAUGCAAGUCGAACGGGAGUAGCAAUACUCUAGUGGCGGACGGGUGAGGAAUACGUAGGAAUUUGCCCUUAAGUGGGGGAUAACCCGGGGAAACCCGGAUUAAUACCGCAUGACCUCGAAAGAGCAAAGUGGGGGAUCGCAAGACCUCACGCUUUUGGAGAAGCCUACGUCGGAUUAGCUAGUUGGUGAGGUAAUGGCUCACCAAGGCGACGAUCCGUAACUGGUCUGAGAGGAUGAUCAGUCACACCGGAACUGAGACACGGUCCGGACUCCUACGGGAGGCAGCAGGUGGGGAAUAUUGGGACAAGUGGGG
RNAcentral lists this ribosomal RNA (341 nucleotides) under uncultured soil bacterium. RNAcentral describes it as "bacterial SSU rRNA". It matches the Rfam family "Bacterial small subunit ribosomal RNA", at positions 26 to 377 of the family's 1533-position model. The record is from RNAcentral.